UUGGAGGGCAAGUCUGGUGCCAGCAGCCGCGGUAAUUCCAGCUCCAAUAGCGUAUAUUAAAGUUGUUGCAGUUAAAAAAGCUCGUAGUUGAACCUUGGGUCUGGCUGGCCGGUCCGCCUCACCGCGAGUACUGGUCCGGCUGGACCUUUCCUUCUGGGGAACCUCAUGGCCUUCACUGGCUGUGGGGGGAACCAGGACUUUUACUGUGAAAAAAUUAGAGUGUUCAAAGCAGGCCCUUGCUCGAAUACAUUAGCAUGGAAUAAUAGAAUAGGA
Molecule: ribosomal RNA, 273 nt
Filed under: uncultured Ascomycota
Lineage: Eukaryota; Fungi; Ascomycota
Description: partial 18S ribosomal RNA
Rfam family: Eukaryotic small subunit ribosomal RNA
Source: RNAcentral